GCAGGACUUCAGAAACGUGACGGCAGUCGGUUUGAUCUCGCUGAGGUUUCUCCUAGCAGGUGUUUGUUCAUGCUCGGCGUAGGAUUAGUGUAUGUGUGUAGAAUUAGGGCCACCAUGUCUCUGUCCGUGUGUGUGUGUGUGUGUGUGUGUGUGUGGACAGGUUGUGUUCACCGAGUGUGUACGUGGUCAGGACUUCCCUUGGUUUAGGCUGGGUCACUGUGCCCAGGUGUUGUGCCAGUUCAGGGACAGAUAAGGUCCUCGUGUACUUUGCGGUGCUGUUGUUUCUUCUCGUGUUUGAAGAAUGUGACGUGGUCUGUCUGGGCUUUUGGUCUGGACACGUUUUGGAUUGUAAAGUCAGCCGUGAGACCCGCUUGCUGAGGAGGCUUCUCUCCGGGGUCAGCUCCUGGUAUCUCAGUGCUUUGUGAUGGAGGUUGUCUGGAUCACUAUAUUCACGUGGGCGUGGAACGUGCGUGAAUGAAUUCUACCUGCAGAGUCUCUACUGGGGGUUCGUCACAUUUACUGAACUCUUGGUUUGUGAUCAGACCCCAGACCUCACGUCUGUAGAGCGCGAAGGGUUCUAAAGAAGACCGAAUUGUUUUUAGCCAGAUUCGGAUUGGGAGGUCACAUUUAAUAGCGAACUGUAAACAGCUCUUCUCUCUCUCUCGCUGUGUCUGUCUCUCUAUAUGUCUCUCUCUCGCUGUGUCUGUCUCUCUAUAUGUCUCUCUCUCGCUGUGUCUGUCUCUCUAUAUGUCUCUCUCUCGCUGUGUCUGUCUCUCUAUAUGUCUCUCUCUCUCGCUGUCUGUCUGUCUCUCGCUGUGUCUCUCGCUGUGUCUCUCGCUGUCUGUCUCUCGCUCUGUCUUUUUCGCUCUCACUCUGUCUCUCACUCUGUCGGUCUCUCGCUCUCUCUCUGCCUCGCUCUCUCUGUGCAGACACACAACAUGAGAUCAAAGGUCUGAUGGCAGUCAAAACACACACACACACACACACACACACACACACACACACACACACACACACAGAGCUGGGCUGCUAUCUCUCUCAUUCUCACUGUCUCUCUCACACUCUCAACCUGUCUCUCUUACCAUCUGCCUCUCUCACUCUCACCAUCGUCGUCUCUCACACUGUCUCACUCUCUCGCUCGCCCUCUCUCACUUUGUCUGUCUGGAUGAUCCUUAGCAUAUGAAAAUCACUACGAUUUGGAUUUUUAGGCUUCAUUUACACUACAUGUUGCACCUGCUUAAAUACACUCUGUGAGUGUGUGAGUGUGUGUGCGCGUGUGUGUGUGUGUAUUUGUCCAUGUUCCUCUUUCUGCACUCAAACAGACUCGCUUUCACUUUAAGUAGUUGUUUAAACCAGUCUGAGAGGAACCCUGAUCACCUGACUCUGACUCCGCCCCCUCCAUCACAGUCGGGUCAACGUGCGAGACACGAGAACUCGGCUCUCGGCGUAUCAGAGCGUUAGAGACGUCGCGUGAUUGUCUGCCGAACCUGAAAGUGUGUGAGGGAAUCGCCGAGGUUAAAAGGUGUGUGUGUGAAAACCACAAGCUCUCUGAACACAGUCGUUUUGUUUUUAUUUAUUAUUACUUCAUAAAAGUAUUAAUAAUACUUUCCUUACGCUAAUAACAGCACUAAUCCUGUCAGAUUUAACCUGCGAGUUGAGAUUACUGGACAGUUUUAUCCACUCGUUUAACCGCGCUCCUUUCUCACGUUACCCAACGCGAGAAAAUAAACCGUACUCUCUACUGACUUUAGCGAAAACAAAUUAUUACUUGGGGUCUAUGUUGAAACAAAAUGGCGGCACGACCCACCUGAAAACGAUCAGGACGACGACUUUAUAUACGUGUUUGUGUCUGUAUUGACGCUCUUGAUUAGCUAACUAGCUCACCAUGCGUUAUUUCAUAUGGUGUGUACGUUAGCGAACAUUUUGAAGCUAGUCAGUUAGAUCUCCAUGGGACUGAGCAACACACCGGAGCUUUCGCUUGGCCUUGGCUUACUUGUUGUCCUGGGAACUUGUUUUAAAGGGCCCCUGAAAUCAAGGAGCUUUCUGUAUUUAGGGUUAUACACACCAGUUGGGGGGGAUACAAAUAGCUUCGGAGAUGUUCUCAUUUUAAUUUUAUAGCUCAUUACUGUUUAAAAAAAAAAAAUUAUUAUUAUUAUUCAUAAGUAGUAAGAAGUUUGUGAUCGUCCA
Long non-coding RNA from Ictalurus punctatus (channel catfish), 2187 nucleotides. NCBI's taxonomy places the organism in Eukaryota, Metazoa, Chordata, Actinopteri, Siluriformes, Ictaluridae. The record is from Ensembl.